Long non-coding RNA from Lolium rigidum, 1297 nucleotides. RefSeq lists it as uncharacterized. Lineage: Eukaryota; Viridiplantae; Streptophyta; Magnoliopsida; Poales; Poaceae. The record is from RefSeq and is a predicted model, not a curated record. The transcript has 3 exons.
UUCCUUUGGUGGCGUGGAUUUCUUGCUGCAGUGCAAAGCAGGACAUAGGAUGCAGGCAACCAGAUUAGUUUUGGAUCUAAUUUUUUUUAUGCUUUGUUAUUUUAAUAAACCUAAUGUGAGUUAUUUAGUUUAAUUUACAUAAACUUGUUGUAUUCUUUUCUACAUGCUUUUUAGAUUGUCCUAAAAGCUUUGUACAAUGUUUCCAAUCAAUGCUAGCUCUUUUAAAAGAGAAUCAAGAUAUUUCUACACAAUUAAACAUCAAUAUUUCGAUAGUAAAACAUUGUAUAGGCAUGCACAUUUGCUUACUAUACCUAGGCUUCAUAAGGCUCAAGCAUAACCUCCAAUUUUGCAGGAAAAAAUACACGCUAGAUUUGUUCGGCCAUGAUUUUGAGCCUUUUCAGUUUCUUUGCCGAGAAGAGAAAAAGAAGCGAAGGAACCAAUUCAUGAAUAGGACCUGCAUAGAGCUUAUCCAUCCAUGAAGGCUGAAGCCUCUCCCUUCCACACAUUAUUUCAGCAUGUGCAUGAAUCAAUACUGAAAACGGCGGGCUUCAUCUUGCCAAACUUGAUUGAAUUUUUGUGUCGACAUUUACUUGGAUUUUAACAUUUGUUCGCCUGGGUGUUUCGACAUACACUCCGUCCUCCAGCCUGCGGAUUAUGGGCAUUUUCACCUGAACACUCAUGACCCAUGUCAAGGCUAAUGUGGCAGCAGUGACUGUGACUGCAAAAGGGUUUUUAUAUUGAUGAUUUUUGCUGCUUUGUCGCGAGGUGGAGCAGUCUUAUGUUGAUUUAAUGUGUGCGUGGUACCCCCUCCUAGAACGAGUUAGUUUAUCCUAUUUCAUGUGGUUAUCCCCUACUACAGUAAUCUCAUAUAAUAACGUGUUUAAUUAAGCUUGUUCGUAUAUAUAUACACACACACUUGCUUCAAAGUCUGAUGUAUUUGUCUUCACGUAUUCUGAUUAGUUCCUGAGAUAACCUAUUCUCUUUUUUGUUGGUAUUUCUGAAUGAGAUUCUUUUUUCAGCUGUUUAACAAAAGCAAUAUUGUAUAUUUGGAGCAGAGCUAGCAGAAUAUCUAUUACACUUUCAAAUAAAUAUAUGCAUUUUUUUUCUUCGAGUGUGUUCAUAAUAUCACAAUAUGUUCGAAAUACUAAAGUUUGUAAUUAUGAUUGUUUUGGUGAUUUUCCCAGGGAGAUACGAGGAGGGGUCCAGGCUUGUGCUGGUGCUCGGGUAGCUAGGCGCAGGGCACAAGAACCUGGAACCUGCUGUCUGUUUCAGCAGUUUGACAUCUUUUUUUUUUGAA